ACGGAAGGCAGCAGUGGGGAAUAUUGGACAAUGGGGGAAACCCGGAUCCAGCGACGCCGCGUGAGUGAAGAAGUAUUUCGGUAUGUAAAGCUCUAUCAGCAAGGAAGAAAAUGACGGUACUUGACUAAGAAGCUCCGGCUAAAUACGUGCCAGCAGCCGCGGUAAUACGUAUGGAGCAAGCGUUAUCCGGAUUUACUGGGUGUAAAGGGAGCGUAGACGGUAAAGCAAGUCUGAAGUGAAAUCCCGGGGCUCAACCCUGGAACUGCUUUGGAAACUGUUUAACUAGAGUGCAGGAGAGGUAAGCGGAAUUCCUAGUGUAGCGGUGAAAUGCGUAGAUAUUAGGAGGAACACCAGUGGCGAAGGCGGCUUACUGGACUGUAACUGACGUUGAGGCUCGAAAGCGUGGGGAGCAAACAGGAUUAGAUACCCUGGUA
This 434-nucleotide ribosomal RNA is filed under the name uncultured Lachnospiraceae bacterium. RNAcentral describes it as "partial 16S ribosomal RNA". It matches the Rfam family "Bacterial small subunit ribosomal RNA", at positions 341 to 792 of the family's 1533-position model. Lineage: Bacteria; Bacillati; Bacillota; Clostridia; Lachnospirales; Lachnospiraceae. The record is from RNAcentral.